GUCGAGGGGCAGCAUGAACUUAGCUUGCUAAGUUUGAUGGCGACCGGCGCACGGGUGAGUAACACGUAUCCAACCUGCCGAUGACUCGGGGAUAGCCUUUCGAAAGAAAGAUUAAUACCCGAUGGCAUAGUUCUUCCGCAUGGUAGAACUAUUAAAGAAUUUCGGUCAUCGAUGGGGAUGCGUUCCAUUAGGUUGUUGGCGGGGUAACGGCCCACCAAGCCUUCGAUGGAUAGGGGUUCUGAGAGGAAGGUCCCCCACAUUGGAACUGAGACACGGUCCAAACUCCUACGGGAGGCAGCAGUGAGGAAUAUUGGUCAAUGGACGAGAGUCUGAACCAGCCAAGUAGCGUGAAGGAUGACUGCCCUAUGGGUUGUAAACUUCUUUUAUACGGGAAUAAAGUGAGGCACGUGUGCCUUUUUGUAUGUACCGUAUGAAUAAGGAUCGGCUAACUCCGUGCCAGCAGCCGCGGUAAUACGGAGGAUCCGAGCGUUAUCCGGAUUUAUUGGGUUUAAAGGGAGCGUAGGCGGACGCUUAAGUCAGUUGUGAAAGUUUGCGGCUCAACCGUAAAAUUGCAGUUGAUACUGGGUGUCUUGAGUACAGUAGAGGCAGGCGGAAUUCGUGGUGUAGCGGUGAAAUGCU
RNAcentral lists this ribosomal RNA (639 nucleotides) under uncultured bacterium. RNAcentral describes it as "bacterial SSU rRNA". It matches the Rfam family "Bacterial small subunit ribosomal RNA", at positions 61 to 690 of the family's 1533-position model. The record is from RNAcentral.